GGACUGGCAAAACCUUUUAACAUGUCGGUGGUCGGCGGGGCGUCCACGAUCAUGGCGGCGCGCGGUGCAGACGACCUCGCGCUUUUCAGAUGUGGACAUUGCAGCCAGGAAUUCCAUGAGCAGGAUGAAGGAGAAAAACACUUGCUGCAGUGUACGGCAGACGCCCAGCCAUUCCAGUGUGGACAUUGCGCUCAGACAUUUGCUAGCCGUGAGGAGGCAGAAGUCCACCUGUUAGCAUGCAACCAGGGAGACCAAGCAGGUACCCAGAGCACAAGGUCAUAGUGGAUCAGUUCAGUGACCUGUGUGACAUGCGUUACUUGACAUGGCAAGUAUCUGGAGGAAGUGAUAGCAGCAGCAGUGGAGAUUAGGGCCGUGGCCACUGUGAGCGGAAGAGGCGCUUCAAGGAGGCCAGCAUUGGCGAAUACCUGAUGGAGAGAAAUGAUUUUGAGAGGCACAGGCUGAUGAUAGAAGAGAGGAGGGUUGCUGCUGAAGAGAAAAUGCUGGAACUACUUGCCCGAUUGGUGGAUGUGGUGGAAACCAACACCAAGAAGUGAAGAGUUUUAGCUGUAUUUUCCGUGGAGAAGUUCAGAUAAGAUUUUGUUUUUAAGACCUGCUGAGGGUAUGCCAUUUAGCCAGGAACCCAGCACCGUGCAAACAUGGUGUUCAUGCAGUGCCUUUUAUCAUUUAAAGCAUCAGCUGGAUGGCUGUGCACUAAGCUUUGCAGGUGUCCAAAGAAAAGUGAAGCCUAUUUAACACAGACAGGAGUGAGUUGUGGUACAAGGUGAUGUGAAUAUGAUGUGUUUCUAAUGCUCAUGCAAUGCCUUAACGCCAGUCAUCAAUGUGUGUGCAUAUAUGUGCCCUCAUAGAACUGCACUAUAACCUGUCUCUGUAUGACUCCCGUUCUCAUUGCAACAUUUCACUUGGAAGCAGUUCCAGUCACUGGAGUAAGGACUUUU
Pollicipes pollicipes is the source of this 956-nucleotide long non-coding RNA. RefSeq lists it as uncharacterized. Lineage: Eukaryota; Metazoa; Arthropoda; Thecostraca; Pollicipedomorpha; Pollicipedidae. The transcript is spliced from 3 exons. The record is from RefSeq and is a predicted model, not a curated record.